AGCAAAAGAGAAAAGUUUUUUUAAAAUGUAAUCUAAUUAAUCUAAGUGCAUUUGUAUGCCUAUUAAAAUUCACCUGUCCUGGAGUUUCCAUUUAUCAUGAUUAUGAGGGAACAACCAUCCUAAGAAAGAACCUUCAUGUCUUCAAAAGGCACCGAGAGAGUUAAAAAGAAGAAAAAAAAUGGAGGGGACUGGACUUGUUUGAUCUAUGGAAUUGAAGUAAAAAAAAGAGAAAGGAGGGUAAAUGCAAUGCUGUCAUGUAAAAUGGAAAAAGAAGGAAGAAGAACCUGAAAUCACUAGAACAUGGAUAUGGAAAAUAAAAUGGGAAGUUUUUUGGUAUAACUCCAUAUGUAUAUUUUGUAUUUCUUGCCUUCUCAAUGAAUAUGUGAGUGGAAUGGGGGGGGGGGAAUCUGGAACUGAAAAUAAAAUAAAAUGAAUUAAUAUAUAUUAUAUAUGUGCUGAUAUACAUGUGUAUAUUUAUAUGUAUAUAUAUAUUUAUAUACUCUACAGAAGCACUUAAAAGGACCCCAGUUCCUGUACAAGCAUUCAUACUUAUCUUUCACCACACAGAAAGAAUACGUGAGUCCUAUAUUUUUCCCCUAGAGACCUACAGACUCAUCAUGUGAACCUAUGCUUUGAACUUCCCCAAAGAGUAGCACAUUUGAGGUUGCUAGAGGGGUAACCUCCAGGUUUUGGUGAGUCCCCCUCUCACCUACAGACCUACUCAUUCCUCUAGACUUAUAGCACUUGGAGCAAUCUUCUUGGCAUCACAAUUGCAGUAUGAAUAACAGACCAAAGUAGAGGAGGUUCAGAGGUUUGUACACCUUGACUCCUCUCUUUUUUGCUCAACUUCUUGCUACCCUUUCAAUUCCAUGACCACAUACUUGCCCUCUUAGCUCUUGGAAGGUGAAUCCAUUAAUUGGUACUACUUAAGA
RNAcentral lists this long non-coding RNA (932 nucleotides) under Monodelphis domestica (gray short-tailed opossum). Its description in RNAcentral is "lncRNA (ENSMODG00000037523.1)". The record is from RNAcentral. Lineage: Eukaryota; Metazoa; Chordata; Mammalia; Didelphimorphia; Didelphidae.